RNAcentral lists this unclassified non-coding RNA (2274 nucleotides) under Melitaea cinxia (Glanville fritillary). RNAcentral's name for it is "misc RNA ENSMCXG00005008481.1". Lineage: Eukaryota; Metazoa; Arthropoda; Insecta; Lepidoptera; Nymphalidae. The record is from RNAcentral.
UCCUUCUCCUACAUGAGGAAAGAGGCCUAUGCCCAGUAGUGGGAUAUUACAGGCUGAAGCGAAGUUUAUAGAUGUCUGCAACGCCAGAAGCAUCACAAGUGUGUUGGCGUCCCUAUUUCCCCCAGGAGCUCUGGUCACCUAACUCACCAACAGGAGUACAACCCUGUUUGAAAGCAGUAUUAUUUAGCUGUUAUCUACCUAGCCUACCUACCUAGCUACCCCAGUCGGGCUGCUCCAUAUUUUGGGCAGGAAAUUUCAUGCUGUGCCCAACCUACUAAACAUAUGUAAAUUUCUUUAUGUGGAAGGACUACUACAUUUGGUUUGGGAUUCCUGGUGACACUCUCAUAUUGGUUAGACCUUAGGAAAUCUCAAUAGAACGUUCAAUGAUCUUAAAAAAAAUAAAUAAUCAGUUGCAUACAAUAGUAAUUACGCUCGACUCGCUAAGGUAAAAUUUUGAUCAUAUAUUAUUUUGUUCCUACUAGCAAUGGUUGAGAACUAUAUUCUUAACUAUUCUUUGACGUAUUUAAUCUAGUUUCAAGAAAGAGGAAAAUCGCAGAAUCUACCCUAGUUUAACGCCAUCCGAAAUACUUUGCGUCACCUUGUUGUUCGUAAUUCCUGAGGGCCUGAAUACUAAAUUCUUCAAAUAGUGUAUUUCGUCUGUAUCGAUCUAUUAUUUCAAGUUUAGCUCACUAAUACGGCCCACAUUAGAUGGCUAAUCUUGAAGAUUCGUUAGGUGAUCGAAUGAGAAAUUAAAAAAAUUCGUCUUUGAGUCGGUUAUUUGUAUCGUCUUUGAGUCGGCUGUUAUCAUUAAGUUCCUCACCUUAGAAAUAGAUGACUGUGUGUGUAUGUUUAAUAUAUUUACAUAUUUAUUGUUAUUUGUAUUAUGUGUCCGCUCUGAUGCCUACAUGGGAAAAGAAACCUAUGUCCAGCAGUGGGAUAUUAAAUUGUAUUUGUCACACAGGUACCAACUAAAUUGAGCUAUUAUCUCGUGUCUCAUUUGAGCUAAAUACAUUAGUCAAAAUAAUAGAAAAUUAUUUAUAUUUUAUUCACAUUUUUGUGCAAGCACCUUUAAUAAUAUUGGUAGUAGAACUACACUAUCUAAACAACGCAUCCGCAAAGCAAAUAUAUUGAACAUACGGUUUGAAAAAUCCAAGGUAAUCCUCUGUCAUUCAAAGUGAGAUUGAUCGCUUAUGUAAGCUACCGUUUAUGCAAUCAUUUGAUUUUCUAAAUCACACACAAGUCCUGCAUUUGUAGGUAGGUAUAUGAUGUUUUGUCUUUGUGAGCGCCUCGUUAACCUAAAAAUACACAAUGAGACAAAGAUGUAGCCCAUGAGAGUUGUUUCUUAAUUAUUACGGUGGCGCUGGCUUGAAACAUUUCAAUGUGUGAAAAAUUAUUUUCUGAUAACGUAAUUUUUGAGAGUUCGGUGAAAUCAAUACCGUUUUGUUGGUUAAGAUAGUAUACAAACCUUUUAUAUAUAUAUGAAUGUUUUAGAUCCUUAUGCAUAAAUUUAGUAUGAUUAUACCCAUAUUAUUUUGAUUUUAUAUGCAUGUAUAGGUCUGUAUAUUUACGAGUUUCAAUCGGCUGUACAUUGUGUAAUUUGGCAAAAUUAAAGUUUUAUCUUACUAAAGUAUUGAAAAUGGUUUCAUGGCAUACUAAAAAGAAAAUCGUUCUUAGCUACGUAUCCAAUAUCUAAAGUUUUUGCCGCUAACUAUUUUAGUUGAAACAAAGUUAAUCAGAACAACAAACUGCAAGAAAUUUGGUUAUUGUUUAGUAUUAUGCAGCAAAUUUUCAUGUUACUUAAUCUAUACAAACAAAUAAAAUUGGAGUGUCUGUUUGUAAUAUUAAAAUAACCACUUUUUACAUAUGGAUGUAUACACGGUACGUAUACCAAAAUAACAUUUUUUACAAUUUUUGUCAGUCUGUCUGUCUGUCUGUGUGUCUGUCUGUCUGUCUGUUUGUUCCAGCUAAUCUCUGAAACGACUGAACCGAAUUUGACAGGACUUUCACUGGCAGAUACUUAAUGUAAAAAGGAGUAACUUAGGCUACUUUUAUUUUAGGAAUUUAUUUAUUUUUUUACUCUGCGGAAUGAACAAUAAAUUUUAAGUGGAUUUACACGUGGAAAAAGUCGCGGGAACAGCUAGUUUUAAAUAUUUUAAUGUUUGGGUUUUAUUCUAUUUUAUUUUUUAUGUUCAUCAUACAAGAAAGCAAUUUAAAUGAUAAUUUAAAUAGUUCAUGUAAAUAUAAAUUCCUUUCUUAAUUUUAUCAUUAUAAAUG